AGUGAACGCUGGCGGUAGGCCUAACACAUGCAAGUCGAAUGGCAGCACAGUAAGAGCUUGCCCUUACGGGUGGCGAGUGGCGGACGAGUGAGGAAUACAUCGGAAUCUACUUUUUCGUGGGGGAUAACGUAGGGAAACUUACGCUAAUACCGCAUACGACCUACGGGUGAAAGCAGGGGAUCUUCGGACCUUGCGCGAUUGAAUGAGCCGAUGUCGGAUUAGCUAGUUGGCGGGGUAAAGGCCCACCAAGGCGACGAUCCGUAGCUGGUCUGAGAGGACGAUCAGCCACACUGGAACUGAGACACGGUCCAGACUCCUACGGGAGGCAGCAGUGGGGAAUAUUGGACAAUGGGCGCAAGCCUGAUCCAGCCAUACCGCGUGGGUGAAGAAGGCCUUCGGGUUGUAAAGCCCUUUUGUUGGGAAAGAAAAGCAGCAGGUUAAUACCCCGCUGUUCUGACGGUACCCAAAGAAUAAGCACCGGCUAACUUCGUG
Molecule: ribosomal RNA, 492 nt
Filed under: uncultured bacterium
Lineage: Bacteria
Description: partial 16S ribosomal RNA
Rfam family: Bacterial small subunit ribosomal RNA
Source: RNAcentral